This 68-nucleotide transfer RNA is filed under the name Wenzhouxiangellaceae bacterium. RNAcentral describes it as "tRNA-Phe". Lineage: Bacteria; Pseudomonadati; Pseudomonadota; Gammaproteobacteria; Chromatiales; Wenzhouxiangellaceae. The record is from RNAcentral.
CGGGAAGCCGAACGGCAAGGCAUUGAAAAGCCAGUCCCGGAAGCCGCCGGCGAAUCCGGCAGUCCCGG